AUUCUUAAUUAUUUAAAAUAAUAGAAAAAAGUUUUAAAAAUUACUAAUAAUUUACUUAAAGUAAUAAAUUUUGUCGUAUAACACGUCAACUCGACAUUGUAGUUUUGGGUCUUCAUAGUAGCAAAAUCUGCACGACAACCCGCGCCAAUUGUCCUUUUAGUCCAUAUAAAUAUUAUAAAUGCGAAAGUAACUCUGUCUGUCUGUUACUCUUUCACGCCUAAACGGCUGAACGGAUUUUGAUGAAAUUUGGUAUGGUGAUGGAUGAUAACCUAGAAAUGGUCAUAGCCUAUACAUAAUCACGCCGUCGUUCUUAGGUAGUAGGCAGUAGGCAGAUAACUAAAUUGAGUUAGUGAUUUUUAGUCGAUUUUGUUGGGACUUUUGCUUUUUCACGUCGAAACGGCUGAACGGAUUUUGAUGAAAUUUAGCAAAAUCAUCACGUCAUCGUACUUAGGGGGUAGGAAGUAGGCAGAAAACUGAAUUGAGUUAGUGAUUUUUUAUGGUUUUUGCAGGGAGUUUUGCUCUAUAAUGCCUAAACGGCUGAACGGAUUUUGAUGAAAUUUAGUUAGGAGAUAGAUGGUACUUAGUUACAUUUUUUAUUAUUAGGUAGUUAAGGUAGCUGUUAGAUGUAGGUAUUUUCUUAACCAAUCAUUCAUAUCUCUAGGUUUACUGAGAUACGUAUUAUUCUUUAUUUUUGCAGUCGCUUUCAUUUGUUAAUUCUCAAUUCAUGUGCAUGUUCAUAUGUAUGUAGCAUAUUGUUUAUGCUACUUGGUAUGGUAUUGUUUUCAAGUGCGAUCUUAGACAGACUUUGCCGGUUAUCACUAAAGGCACCCCUGCAGAAGAAAUAAAUGCGUGUUUAAAAGCGUCAACGUUAUGGGUGCACGUAAAAACGUUUAGUCUGUCUACAAAUAUGAGAGGACAGCUACACAGAGAUGUACAAUCUGGACAAUAUGCUGCUGCUCUUCUUAAAAUUGGAGAAGAUCGUAUGGCAAAGGAUGGUAAUGGCAUGAUUACAUUAGAUCGUGUAUUUUGCAAUGUUGUGCAUAAUCCAGAUGAUCUAAAUAACUUCGUCUAUAGCGAAAUGCUAACUAAUAUGAGGAAUAGAGAAUGGUUAUGUGAAAGAGCAAUUUUAGCGCCGACGAAUGAAAUAGUGGGACAGAUAAACGAGCAAAUUAUGUCACGCGUGGGAGGUGAUAUUGUUGAGUUUUUGUCUGUAGACACUGUAAUGGAUACUGAACAAGUAACAUCAUACCCUGUAGAAUUUCUUAAUUCUUUAGAACUGUCGGGAGUACCUUCACACAAUCUGAGGCUGAAAGUAUGCGUUCCUAUCCUUUUGAUGUGAAAUUUAGAUGCCCCAAGACUGUGUAUUGGCACACGGUUGCAAGUAACACACCUCGGUCGCAAUAUUGUAAAAGAAUGAUUGGAUUGGCAAAAGGAGAGAAUGUUAAUUCUGACAGAUUUGCCAUUCAAGUUUAAGAGAUUACAGUUUCCGCUGAAAAUCGCAUUCGCUAUGACGAUAAAUAAAGCUCAGGGGCAAACAUUAAAAGUAGCCAGCAAUAAUUUAGAACAGAGUUGUUUUACUCACGGACAAUUAUACGUGGCUUGCUCACGUAUUUCAAGUUCACAGAAUCGGGGGUUGGCAGAUAGUUAGUAGUAUUUUAAACCGAUUUACAUUAUCUACUUUCUAUAUUUACUAAGGAAACAUUCGGAGCUAUCCAUUAUGUACUUAGGUUGCUUUUGAAGAGAUUUUGAUGUGAAGUUGAGGACCGGAACACGAUAGUUGGACAUUGUUUCAGGGGGACUUACAGCCGGGAGAAAACGAAACGAAACGUAUGCGGACGAAGCCGCGGGUAAAAGCUAGUAGUAUAUAACGACCGAAACCAUCGCGGAGUGUCUUGCGUUUCCCUUCAUUCUAUUGCAUUCUUACCGCAAUUUCAUUGUAUGUAUUUCAGAUAAUCUACUUGUACGUUUCUACACACAUUUAUUUUGCGUCAAAAGUAUUUACACACCGCGAUUAAGCCUUCUUUCUUGGCUUUGGUUGAAUCAAGAGUAGUGAUUGGCUUCUAUCGCAUACAUAACUUACUAACAAAGAAUUAAAAUAUAAAACUUGGUAAAUAAAAUGCCAAAAACAAAUGAAUUAUCGAUUAUAACUAGAUCGGAGACUGUUAUUAAGUUUAAGACUGGUGUUUCGGCUUCGGAGUUAGUAAAAGGUUAUAGAUAUUAAAGGAAUACUGUUUAUAAUGUUAUUAAAAAGAUGGAGACGAAAUAGUUCAAGGAUAAUUUAAAGAGAACUGGGCAGAAACCUGUGAUAACUCAAAGAUAAUGUAGAAGAUUAGUUGGAACUGCCAUACAAAAUCCCACAAUUAGUUCUCUGAAUAUUGCACAACCAUCGAAUCAGCAUAUUGCAUGAACAGUUACACAGUUAAUGAUGUUACACUGUGCAUAAAGUGGUCAAUAUUUCCGAAACCAAAAAAGCUAUCUGGUUUUCAUCAGAUAAAGGCUAAAUUUUAGUUCCAGGGCUUCUUUAGUAAACGCUUUAUGCAUUUACCACGUCACAUGACCAUGGCAUUAUAGUGGUUUUCCAAAUAUAGACAAGUUUUUCAUGAAGGAUCUCUACCUACAAAAGUUUUAAAUGAAGUAAAUCAAGUUGACCUCCGCACAGCCCUGACCAAAACUUUAGUUAAAAUGUUUGGUCUAUCGUUAAAUAUCAAAGUACAAUUUAUAUAAUAACCGAAAACGCCGAAAUUACCGACAUUCGGUCUAAAUUAACAGUUAACUUAGCGUACAAUAGUGUUGAAUCAAUUCGGACCAUAAAGCAGGCUGUUAUCGAUGCCAAAGACGAUGUAACCAAUUAUGAAUUUACCGCCUUGGAAUAAUAACUAAGAAUAAAAAUUAAAAUUAAAAAAAUGCAUUAAAAAAUAACAGGAUAAACAGAGUUCAAGUUGUGUGUAAAUACUUUUGACGCAAAAAAAAAUUGUAAAUACUUUUGACUAUUUAAGGUUUACAACAACAUAGCAUUUUGUUACCCUGCGACAACACAACAAUUAAUAGCUUUUUCUGUGAAAUUUGAUGUGUAAAUAAUUUUAACUACCUCUAUAUAGUAUGUGAUAGCUGAGGUAACUUCUGAACUGAUUUCACUCAUUUUCACCACCCAGGUACAUAAUAUCACUUAAUUUAAUAUUUCACAUAUUAACCGAUUUAUAAGGUAUUAAGCCCAUCAUAGUUUUGAAAAACCCAUAAUUAGGUAUAUGGGAGCUAGGGUAAGUUAUGGCCCGUUUUUAAUAAAUUUUGCCACAGAAACAUACUAUUAGAAGAAAAAGAUACCCUCCAAAUUACAUUAAAAUAUCUAAAAGAUUUGCCGAUAUUUUCGGUAAAAAUUACCCUUAGGCACUGAGUUUUUCAUGUUCGAUGUCCGGGACAUUGAAAAGUUAAAGUCAAUUGACAAUUUUUCCACAAGUAGUGUCACAGCUCAAAUACAGUAGUAGUAAUUUUUAUUCCGGUAACAUCACUGGUUCCUAAUUUAAAUGUAUAUAAAGUGAAGGAAUCAGAUGGAAUUCAAAUUUGAUUAUAUGAGAAUUGAUUAUCGAAGUAGGCGUGAUAGUGACUCGAUUUCGCCCGUCCAUGUCAUCAGGAUGUUAGGAAAAUAGUAUAUACCGAAUUUUAUUCAAAUCGGUCGAGUAGUUCCUGAGAUAUGGUUUUUAGCCCAUAAGUGGGCGACGCCACGGCCAUUUUCCAUUUUGUAAAAAAUCUGAGUGUCUCCUUUUUCUAUUUCUUCUGUAAAAUUUAGUGUUUCUGGAGUUUUCCGUUAGUGAGUAAACGCACUUUUAGUCAUUUUCAACCUAACCUUUGUAUGGGAGGUGGGCGUGGUUAUUAUCUGAUUUCACCAAUUUUUAUGGUGUGUAAUAGGAUACGUAAGGCAAGUGGCUGCUGUACGUUUGGUGUAUAUAGCUUUAUGGGCUUGCGAGAUAUAUACAAAAAAACCUGACCAAAAAAAUUAUAUCCAAAUUUGCCCCUUCAUAGUGCGAUCCUUUAUUCGAAAUUUGAUUUUUAUAAACUUAUUUAUGGCUUAGUUAUGACAUUUUAUAGGUUUUCGGUUUUCGCCAUUUUGUGGGUGUGGAAAUGGCCCGAUUUCACCCAGUUUCAAUACCAAACUCCUCAGGGUGCCAAGAAAUAUGUUUACCAAGUUUCAUUAAGAUAUCUCAAUUUUUACUUAAGCUAUCGCAAACAGUAUGAAAACUUAUUCAACCAUUAUAUUUUUAAUUGACGUUCAACAUGGGGUAUAAGUAAUAAAAUGCCAAAGUUGCCAGAGUCGCUCUGAACAGCAAGGACACCCUAAUACUAGCCACUAGAGCAUGAAUUUAUGUAAACGAAGUAUACAGUAAUCCCCGCUUAAGUGCCCCUUCUUAACAUGCAAGAAUUUUGAGACAUUGAAGUGUGAAAUAAGAAAUUACAAAAUUCCUCUCUUGAUAAUCCGAGAUUUUAAAAUUAUCUCGUUUUAUACAACUAGAUUUUCGGUGUUAUUCCUAUUUUUAUCGAUAAUUUUUGCGAAGAAGAGGAGAAAUGUCAAAUGAAAAUGUAAACCAAAAUGGCCGACAGCGUGGAAAAGAGGUUUGUAAAUAUACUUAAAAUAAAACAUUAAUUUACAAUAUAUUUAAAUCUAUAAAUUUUUCAGAAAGAAGAUCCAAGUGGAACAAAGUAGAAGUUGAACUUCUCCUGAGCUUGUCGACGUAAAAAUUUCCACAAUUACGAGUUAAACGAAAUUCUCAUGUCUAUAAAGACAUGUCUAUGGAAAUGGCCGCCAAAGGUUUUAUAUAUUUCGCGAAUGAAAUUCGUGUGAAAAUACACAAUUUAACAAAUAAAUACAGAGAUGAGAAGAAAAUUGUUGGUCCCUCUGGUGGCAGCCCUUCGACUAUUAUACUAAAAUUAAUGGCAUUCUCGGCAGCUAUAAAAGUAUAAAUUUAGAAACAUUGGUGGAAGAGAGCACAGUUUACGAAUCUGUGGAGUGUGCGCUCUCCCCGAAUAACUCUGCCAUAGAUUCGCAAGAAGAAUUUCCGCCUUCAGUCGAGGAACCUGUAAAGAAAAAGAAAAAGACAAAUGCAUCAGUUAGCAUUCAAUAUGAGUUUUUGGAGGUAUUCGAGGCUUCGAAUACCAAAUUACAGGCAGAAAUUGAAGCAAUUAAGGAGGAUGGCAGGGAGGCCAUGCAAAUUGAAAAAGAGAGAAAUUCCAUCCUAGAAAACUUUGUGGAAGUUUUUAAACAAAGCAUAUAAUCAAAUAAUUCGCGGAAAUAUACAAAGCUUUGUGUGGCCAUUUUCACCGACAUGUCUUUAAGCACAUGCGAAUUCCGUUUUACUCCUCGCAGCUGUAUCAAUUUUUCUUCUUUCUAGUCCAGGAAAAGUUCAACUUCUUUCUUCUUAAUUUUAUGUUUUAAAUGUUUAAUUGUUUUUCUAAUGUAUUAUUUGGUUUGGUAAAUGAUUUACGAGGGCUGCUAUAUAUAUUUCUGGCCUAGGCAAAACUAAGUGUUGUGUAAGGUGCAAUCUGACAUUUCCAUUGGAAAGUUUGACAUUUUUUAGCAUAACAUCACUCAGAACGUUUUGUCAUUUAAUCGUGAAUUGUUUUAUUUACAGGGAAUUAAAAAAUUAAUCUCGGCCAAAAAAUGGAAUUAACUCGUGAACAGUUUCGUGCGAUCAUUUUUCACAACUUUCGACAUGGAUUAUCGCGACAAGAGUGCAUCGAUGAACUAAAAUCUUUGUAUGGCUAUGAAGCACCAUCCUAUAGCACUGUGAAAACUGGUACAACGAAUUCAAUCGUGGCCGACACUCGCUCAAAGACGAAUUCCGUGAAUGUCGUCUAAAAACAGCCGUUGUGCUAGAAAACAUCGAUGCCGUACGUGAACUGAUAAUGCAAGACCGUCAUGUAACAUACCUUCAGAUAGGGGCAUGCCUAUGCAUUUCUCCCACCAGCAUACAUUCGAUAUUGCAUGAACACCUGGCCGUAAAAAAGGUUUGUUCUCGUUGGAUUCCGCACAAUUUGACAAUCGCUCAAAAAAAGUGCUUCGAAAAUUGGUUUGAGUGCAUGCAAAAGUGUAAAAAUCUUGUUGGGCAAUAUUUUGAAAAGCAAUAAAACCAUUUUCGUUAAAUAUUCCUAUUUUCCUUAUUAGGCCAGAAAUAUAUAUAGCAGCCCUCGAACUAUUGUUUUGUUAAUAAUUGAUUAACUAAUUUUGCUUCGUUAUUGUGUCUCAAUAUGUGAUAUAAAAAUG
Zeugodacus cucurbitae (melon fly) is the source of this 6253-nucleotide long non-coding RNA. RefSeq lists it as uncharacterized. NCBI's taxonomy places the organism in Eukaryota, Metazoa, Arthropoda, Insecta, Diptera, Tephritidae. The record is from RefSeq and is a predicted model, not a curated record. The transcript has 3 exons.